Molecule: RNA transcript, 2018 nt
Organism: Impatiens glandulifera
Lineage: Eukaryota; Viridiplantae; Streptophyta; Magnoliopsida; Ericales; Balsaminaceae
Gene name: UBP1-associated protein 2A-like
Exons: 3
Source: RefSeq, a predicted model, not a curated record
GUGUUAUUCACACCUUUCUAGAAUAUAGAUUCAACUAGGAAACCCUAGCUGAAAGCUCAAAAUCGGCAUCGGAUUUGAGAGAAAUUUCGUAUAAUCUAUCUUCCUCCAUGGGCAAGAAGCGAAAACUCCGAUCUGUCGAGCCUGAAUCAUCCACCAGAACACCUGAAACCGAACAGAUUCAAACCACACCUCAACCUGAACAACAACAACAACAAACCCUAAUCGCAUCGGAACAAGUCAUGGAGCAAGAUCAGAUAGGGCAACCGCAAGAAACCUUCGCUGCAGUACCAAUAGAAGAGACGGUUGAAGAAGAGACGGAGAACAUGGAGGAUGAAGAAGAAGGCGACGAAGAAGGUAAUGAAAAUGAAAACCAGGCUGCGGUUGUUAACGGAGAUAAGGCGGCGGCCGAAGAAGUUGAGGAGGAGGAGGAAGGGGAUGAGGAAGGCGUUGAGGAUUUGGAGGAAGAACCUAUUGAGAAGAUUUUGGAACCGUUUGGGAAAGAUCAUUUGAUUGCUCUUGUUAAGGAGGCUGUCUCGAAGUUACCUGAAUUCAUGGAGAGUGUGCAGAAGUUGGCUGAUUUGGAUCCUUCGCAUAGAAAGAUCUUUGUGCAUGGUCUUGGUUGGGAUUCGAAUAAGGAAACCCUAAUAAGUGUAUUCAGUAAGUAUGGUGAGAUUGAGGAUUGUAAGGCUGUUUCAGAUAAGUUAACUGGUAAGUCAAAAGGUUAUGGAUUCAUUCUCUUUAAGCAUAGAAAAGGAGCUAGGAAGGCUUUGAUACAGCCACAGAAGCAAAUCGGUAAUCGAUUAACUUCCUGCCAAUUAGCAGCAGCUGGACCUGUUCCAGCUCCUCCUGCUGCCCCACCAGCGUCAGAGUAUACACAGAGAAAGAUUUUCAUAAGCAAUGUUUCUGCUGACAUUGAUCCACAUAAAAUCACUGAGUUCUUUGCUAAAUAUGGUGAGAUUGAAGAGGGUCCUCUGGGAUUAGAUAAACAAACUCGGAAGUUUAAAGGGUUCUGCCUUUUUGUGUACAAGAGUGUAGAGAGUGCUAAGAAAGCAUUGGAGGAACCUCAGAAGAUGUUUGAUGGGAAGACAUUGAACUGUCAGAAGGCAGUUGAUGGACCUAAACCAAACAAACCACAAUUUCCACAACAACAGCAGUAUCAGCACCAGCAUCAUCAGCAUCAUCAUCACUCUUUCAGGAAGGAGAAGACCAGAUAUCCUUCUGCUGCUGGACCAAGCCCUGGCCAUCUUAUGGCACCUUCAGGACCAUCUGUUGGAUUUAACCCUUCUGUUCCAAAUCCAGGACUGGCCCCUGCAAUUGGGCAAGCAUUGACUGCCCUUAUGAACGCCCAAGGAGCUGGGUUGGACGUGUCUAACCUGUUUGGAGGACUUGGGGCAUCAAUGAAUCAGGGUAUGCCGCCUAAUAUGAACAAUCAAGGUUAUGGAAGCCAGCCUGGUGUCAGCUAUGGUAGUCAACCAGCUUACUUAAACCAAGGUGGUUAUCAGAAUCCUCAGAUGGGUCAAGGACCGAGUAGGCCAGCUCCGGGUGGUCCUCCUUCUUACAUGGGUUAUGGGCAGUAGGUAGGUCAAAUUCCUUCAAAGCUUUGGGCAGUCACAAUUACAUAUUAGCUUUGGGCUGCUCUACCUGAACUUGAAGGGUGGAUUUUGUCAGAAAGCUUUGGAGAUGAUAUAUGCAGACAGACUUUGAGAAAAGCUUGCCGAAGUAGAUGAGAUGGUGAUGCUGCUGUGGUUUUCAGGAUCAUUGGGGGGUUAUGACUGGAUCAUCCUCUCUUAUUUUUCUCUGUUUACAUCUGUUUCUCACUAUUCUCAAGAAUUUUUGUUUUUGUUAAUCACUUUCUACUCUCUUUUAUGGAAACAAAAACUAAGCUUAGGGUUUCUGUUAGAUAUGAAACCUAUCCAAAGCCCCAAUGAUAGAAUUAGACAAAAACUAGCCCAACAAAAGAAAGGGAUUUGGACUUUUUUUGUUUUGCCUUAUAAAACUAUUUUACUCAAUCAGGCAGA